Molecule: non-coding RNA, 78 nt
Organism: Colinus virginianus (northern bobwhite)
Lineage: Eukaryota; Metazoa; Chordata; Aves; Galliformes; Odontophoridae
Source: Rfam
CUGUGCUUUCAGCUUCUUUACAGUGCUGCCUUGUUGCGUUCAUGUCAAGCAGCAUUGUACAGGGCUAUGAAAGAACAG